Molecule: ribosomal RNA, 1389 nt
Filed under: Streptomyces sp. MBT70
Lineage: Bacteria; Bacillati; Actinomycetota; Actinomycetes; Kitasatosporales; Streptomycetaceae
Description: partial 23S ribosomal RNA
Rfam family: Bacterial large subunit ribosomal RNA
Source: RNAcentral
UGAGACCUGAUGCCGAGCCGAUUGUGGUGAAGUGGAUGAUCCUAUGCUGUCGAGAAAAGCCUCUAGCGAGUUUCAUGGCGGCCCGUACCCUAAACCGACUCAGGUGGUCAGGUAGAGAAUACCGAGGCGUUCGGGUGAACUAUGGUUAAGGAACUCGGCAAAAUGCCCCCGUAACUUCGGGAGAAGGGGGGCCACGUCUGGUGAUCGGAUUUACUCCGUGAGCUGGGGGUGGCCGCAGAGACCAGCGAGAAGCGACUGUUUACUAAAAACACAGGUCCGUGCGAAGCCGUAAGGCGAUGUAUACGGACUGACGCCUGCCCGGUGCUGGAACGUUAAGGGGACCGGUUAGCUCACUUUCGGGUGGGCGAAGCUGAGAACUUAAGCGCCAGUAAACGGCGGUGGUAACUAUAACCAUCCUAAGGUAGCGAAAUUCCUUGUCGGGUAAGUUCCGACCUGCACGAAUGGCGUAACGACUUCUCGACUGUCUCAACCAUAGGCCCGGUGAAAUUGCACUACGAGUAAAGAUGCUCGUUUCGCGCAGCAGGACGGAAAGACCCCGGGACCUUUACUACAGUUUGAUAUUGGUGUUCGGUUCGGCUUGUGUAGGAUAGCUGGGAGACUGUGAAGCUCGCACGCCAGUGUGGGUGGAGUCGUCGUUGAAAUACCAGUCUGGUCGUGCUGGAUGUCUAACCUGGGUCCGUGAUCCGGAUCAGGGACAGUGUCUGAUGGGUAGUUUAACUGGGGCGGUUGCCUCCUAAAGGGUAACGGAGGCGCCCAAAGGUUCCCUCAGCCUGGUUGGCAAUCAGGUGUUGAGUGUAAGUGCACAAGGGAGCUUGACUGUGAGACCGACGGGUCGAGCAGGGACGAAAGUCGGGACUAGUGAUCCGGCGGUGGCUUGUGGAAGCGCCGUCGCUCAACGGAUAAAAGGUACCCCGGGGAUAACAGGCUGAUCUUCCCCAAGAGUCCAUAUCGACGGGAUGGUUUGGCACCUCGAUGUCGGCUCGUCGCAUCCUGGGGCUGGAGUCGGUCCCAAGGGUUGGGCUGUUCGCCCAUUAAAGCGGUACGCGAGCUGGGUUUAGAACGUCGUGAGACAGUUCGGUCCCUAUCCGCUGUGCGCGUAGGAGUCUUGAGAAGGGCUGUCCCUAGUACGAGAGGACCGGGACGGACGAACCUCUGGUGUGCCAGUUGUUCUGCCAAGGGCAUGGCUGGUUGGCUACGUUCGGGAGGGAUAACCGCUGAAAGCAUCUAAGCGGGAAGCCUGCUUCGAGAUGAGGACUCCCACCCACUUGAUGGGGUAAGGCUCCCAGUAGACGACUGGGUUGAUAGGCCGGAUCUGGAAGCACGGUAACGUGUGGAGGUGACCGGUACUAAUAGGCCGAGGGCUUGUCC